This 396-nucleotide ribosomal RNA is filed under the name uncultured bacterium. Its description in RNAcentral is "bacterial SSU rRNA". It matches the Rfam family "Bacterial small subunit ribosomal RNA", at positions 338 to 749 of the family's 1533-position model. The record is from RNAcentral.
CCUACGGGAGGCAGCAGUGGGGAAUAUUGGACAAUGGGCGAAAGCCUGAUCCAGCAAUGCCGCGUGAGUGAUGAAGGCCUUAGGGUUGUAAAGCUCUUUUACCCGGGAUGAUAAUGACAGUACCGGGAGAAUAAGCUCCGGCUAACUCCGUGCCAGCAGCCGCGGUAAUACGGAGGGAGCUAGCGUUAUUCGGAAUUACUGGGCGUAAAGCGCACGUAGGCGGCUUUGUAAGUAAGAGGUGAAAGCCUGGUGCUCAACACCAGAACUGCCUUUUAGACUGCAUCGCUUGAAUCCAGGAGAGGUGAGUGGAACUUCCGAGUGUAGAGGUGAAAUUCGUAGAUAUUCGGAAGAACACCAGUGGCGAAGGCGGUCUCACUGGACUGGUAUUGACGCUGG